AGAACGCAGCGAAAUGCGAUAAGUAGUGUGAAUUGCAGAAUUCAGUGAAUCAUCGAAUCUUUGAACGCACAUUGCGCCCUUUGGUAUUCCAAAGGGCAUGCCUGUUCGAGCGUCAUUUGUACCCUCAAGCUUUGCUUGGUGUUGGGCGUCUUGUCUCUA
This 159-nucleotide ribosomal RNA is filed under the name Alternaria alternata. RNAcentral's name for it is "5.8S ribosomal RNA". The stretch from base 1 to 115 matches the Rfam family "5.8S ribosomal RNA", at positions 40 to 154 of the family's 154-position model. Rfam says of the family: 5.8S ribosomal RNA (5.8S rRNA) is a component of the large subunit of the eukaryotic ribosome. It is transcribed by RNA polymerase I as part of the 45S precursor that also contains 18S and 28S rRNA. Functionally, it is thought that 5.8S rRNA may be involved in ribosome translocation. Lineage: Eukaryota; Fungi; Ascomycota; Dothideomycetes; Pleosporales; Pleosporaceae. The record is from RNAcentral.